CCUACGGGUGGCAGCAGUGAGGAAUAUUGGUCAAUGGCCGAGAGUCUGAACCAGCCAUGCCGCGUGAGGGAAGAAUGUCCUAUGGAUUGUAAACUGCUUUUGUAAGGGAGUAAAUUCAGCUACGUGUGUAUGGUGGAGAGUAUCGUAAGAAAAAGCAUCGGCUAACUCCGUGCCAGCAGCCGCGGUAAUACGGAGGAUUCAAGCGUUAUCCGGAUUUAUUGGGUUUAAAGGGUGCGUAGGCGGGUUAUAACGUCGGGGUGAAAAUCUGGGAGCUCAACUCCAGCCAGCCGUGGAAACUGACGAUCUAGAGUGGACGAGCGGGAUGCGGAAUGCGUGGUGUAGCGGUGAAAUGCAUAGAGAUCAUGCAGAACACCGAUUGCGAAGGCAGCAUACCGGACCACGACUGACGUUGAGGCACGAAAGCGUGGGUAGCGAACAGGAUUAGAUACCCGUGUAGUC
This 459-nucleotide ribosomal RNA is filed under the name uncultured bacterium. RNAcentral describes it as "partial 16S ribosomal RNA". It matches the Rfam family "Bacterial small subunit ribosomal RNA", at positions 338 to 795 of the family's 1533-position model. The record is from RNAcentral.